Long non-coding RNA from Ochotona curzoniae (black-lipped pika), 1233 nucleotides. RefSeq lists it as uncharacterized. The transcript is spliced from 2 exons. The record is from RefSeq and is a predicted model, not a curated record. NCBI's taxonomy places the organism in Eukaryota, Metazoa, Chordata, Mammalia, Lagomorpha, Ochotonidae.
CUGGCUCUAUGGCAGCCAUCUGGGGAGUGAACAGUCUACACAGGCUGGGGACUGGCAGGAUGCCUCAAGUGGUCUGUCUGCUGCUAAGGUAGAAGCCGAACUACUCGUGCUGUAGUCAGAACCCUGGGGUGGGUCCCUCAAUGGAGGCCUUGAGCCCAGACUGUCUGCCAUGUGGUGCCCAGGCUGUUCUGACAUCAUUGGCCCCGUUUCCCGAGGGGACACCAUGGUGAAUCCUAUGGGGGGUGUUCUUGUGUGUGAAUCCAGAACACCAAGGCAUCGUGUUCAUCAUGGCAGGCAUGCAGAUCAGCCCCAGCCCCUGUGACCAGUGCUACACCAGGCCUCUACUGAUGUGUCCUGCCAGGUUCUAUUACCAGAGAAGGCACCUCCCUUCCCAAGAUAAACCUUUGUGAUUAAUGGAGCUCAUCUUAACUGGAUGAGUUCAGGACAGCUCAAGGGCAGCGUGGAGAUCGAUGCUAGGCCUUGGCCUCACCUGGCUGCACAGGGCUCUGCUGAUAACUGCUGCAAAGCCGCCUCAGCCAAGGGCAGACGCAUGCUAGGAAAACUGUGCAGAAGACAGAGCAUUGUGACAAAGGCCUGCCUACGAGGUGGGUGGUCAGAACGUGGGCUGGGGAGGGUCCCCACGUUCCUACCCAAUGUGUCUGGCUGCUAAGCUGUACGCCAUAGUGUUCACCAAGCACCUGCUCGCUCCCAGUGUCUCCAGACUCCAUGCAUGCCAGCCACAGGCUUCACCAUUUUCUGGGGUUGUCCAUGGUGUGCACAAACACAGUGCAUGAGUUGCUGCUGUGAACAAGGCCCAUAGCAGAAAGCUGGGUGGUUGUCUUGGUCCAUUGCAUCUGGCCAUGUUUUUGUUGGGAUGUGUUGCAGUGGAAAACAUGGCAACUGGAUUGUCAGCUGCUCCGUGUUUCAUCAUUCCAUGGUUUGCACCAUGAUUUGUAAUUUUGUAAAUGAGGCUUCUUGCGGUGUGGGGGCGUCUAGUUAUCUAGGUAUAAUUUGCAUAGAGUGAAAUGCACUCUCCGCUCUGUGUUGGCUGAUGAAUGUUGAAAACAUACAAAGCUGUGUAAAUAUUGCCAUUCUCACAAUAAAGAACAGUUAUGUCACUUGUUCCUCUCAGGUGUGUAACUUCACGCUCCAUCCCAACCCCUGGCAGCCAUGACUUUAUUUUCUUUCUCUGUACUUGCUCUUUCCAUAAUGUUCUAUAAGCGAAUCAGCAUG